CGCGUGAGUAACCUGCCCUUGAUUGGGGGAUAACACACCGAAAGGUGUGCUAAUACCGCAUAACAUCAUUUUACCGCAUGGUAAGGUGAUCAAAGAUUUAUUGAUCAAGGAUGGACUCGCGUCUGAUUAGCUAGUUGGUGAGGUAAUGGCUCACCAAGGCGACGAUCAGUAGCCGAACUGAGAGGUUGAUCGGCCACAUUGGGACUGAGACACGGCCCAGACUCCUACGGAAGGCAGCAG
RNAcentral lists this ribosomal RNA (240 nucleotides) under uncultured bacterium. RNAcentral's name for it is "partial 16S ribosomal RNA". It matches the Rfam family "Bacterial small subunit ribosomal RNA", at positions 114 to 354 of the family's 1533-position model. The record is from RNAcentral.